UGGGGAAUAUUGGGCAAUGGGCGCAAGCCUGACCCAGCAACGCCGCGUGAAGGAAGAAGGCUUUCGGGUUGUAAACUUCUUUUGUCAGGGACGAAGCAAGUGACGGUACCUGACGAAUAAGACACGGCUAACUACGUGCC
RNAcentral lists this ribosomal RNA (140 nucleotides) under uncultured bacterium. RNAcentral's name for it is "partial 16S ribosomal RNA". It matches the Rfam family "Bacterial small subunit ribosomal RNA", at positions 355 to 509 of the family's 1533-position model. The record is from RNAcentral.